Molecule: ribosomal RNA, 497 nt
Filed under: uncultured bacterium
Lineage: Bacteria
Description: partial 16S ribosomal RNA
Rfam family: Bacterial small subunit ribosomal RNA
Source: RNAcentral
GAUGAACGCUGGCGGCGUGCCUAAUACAUGCAAGUCGAGCGAACGGACGAGAAGCUUGCUUUUCUGAUGUUAGCGGCGGACGGGUGAGUAACACGUGGAUAACCUACCUAUAAGACUGGGAUAACUUCGGGAAACCGGAGCUAAUACCGGAUAAUAUUUUGAACCGCAUGGUUCAAAAGUGAAAGACGGUCUUGCUGUCACUUAUAGAUGGAUCCGCGCUGCAUUAGCUAGUUGGUAAGGUAACGGCUUACCAAGGCAACGAUGCAUAGCCGACCUGAGAGGGUGAUCGGCCACACUGGAACUGAGACACGGUCCAGACUCCUACGGGAGGCAGCAGUAGGGAAUCUUCCGCAAUGGGCGAAAGCCUGACGCAGCAACGCCGCGUGAGUGAUGAAGGUCUUCGGAUCGUAAAACUCUGUUAUUAGGGAAGAACAUAUGUGUAAGUAACUGUGCACAUCUUGACGGUACCUAAUCAGAAAGCCACGGCUAACUACGUG